UGUUAAAAAUUUUAUCCAUUUCUACUAUCAAAAACUGGUGUGGUUGACGAAAUAACUAAACAGUUACAUGUGAGGUGCCACAUGUACCUUAUGUUGACAUAUAGAGACCAUCAUUUAAUAGUAAAAAUGGAUAGAUUUUUUAAUA
This is a non-coding RNA of Gossypium hirsutum (cotton), 145 nucleotides long. The record is from Rfam. Lineage: Eukaryota; Viridiplantae; Streptophyta; Magnoliopsida; Malvales; Malvaceae.